UGGUUGGAUUUCAUACAGUUUCUCUUCUGAUCCUGGAAACCCUAUAUCAGUUAUUGGCGUGGUUACUUGAAGACAUUACUUUUUUUACAGAAAGCUUUUGAACUUUGUUUUGUUUUGUAAUAGUACUAUUAGGCCUAGGUACUGUUUGGCAAAGCAAUAAUAAUUGGUGGUUGUUUGGUGUACCAAGACACUAUUGUAUUCUCUUUGGUUGUCCAAAUGCUUUUACGUACUAAUCUUUCUUGGUGUCACUGUCAACUAGGAAUGGAACGUGCACAUGCUACUGUUGCCACAAAUGCUUCCUUCUUUGCCUUUACUCGUUGAGCCAAUCUGGUCCUUCAAUCAAGUUCAGUGGUGUAUGCUUUCACCAAGCAACAUUCUCUCAUAUGUAUCUUACGUUUUGUGGGUCACGUAAUUAGGUUGGGACUGCUCAUCUUUCAUUUUCAUCUAUCUGUAUACUGCUCCUACGUGCAUUAUCAUGAACUGUAGAUUAUACAAUAGUCCGAAAGCGACCUGAGAAUAACACCAACAUGAGGGUCUUCCUCUUCUGGAAAGUUGCCAGCUAGAGUCUCUUUUGUUGUUUUCUGUUCCCAUUAAUUGUGUGCCUCAUUAAGCUUAAAUACUUUUGCAAUGAUUUAUCUAGAGCUCAAUGAUAUAUGUAUACCAGCUAAUUCAUUUUCCAUGUAACAGAUCGCAUCUUGUAACAGCAAAUUUUGGUAUAGCUGUCAGUUGAAUUGGUCAAGCAAGAACUUGUCUCUAUCUUUUAGUUUAUAUGUUACAUCUCUAACUAUAACUUUCCAGCAAACUGUUUCUUUUAGCUACUAUAAAUGCAAUUAAUAUAUGUCAUGUUUGUUUUAACUUUCUCUGAUGGGUGUGGUUCUACUGUGUUGACAACGUGCGAAAGAAAUGACAACAGAAGAAUCAUGUGAAGCUCUUGAAAGUAGCAGGACUUUUUUUGUUAGCAAGCAAGCAAAGCUGUGCUGUUAGCUACUUGACCACACAUCAUAGAAACAAUAUUGGAAAUGUUUGUUCAUCCUCUUGAUGGCUCAUGUGUUGAAGAUGAAGAUAUGUAUGUCAAGAACAUGGUACAUAUGGUAUAACAUUAACAGGGUUGAACGGAGAAACGUGCAGAUAACUUAUUUGGGACAGCAUCUAGAAAAAAAAAACAUAUUCCGGCAAAUGAAAACAAAGCAACUACCUACACACAUGGCUUAUUAAAGGCAAACAACAGGAUUGGUGAGGGACCUUAAACAUCUUUCUUCAUUACAGGAUUUGGAUUCUAUGUGAACCACUAUAUCUUCUUCUCAUGAGUAUCAUUUGGUUUUGCUCACCUUGCCUCUACUUUGGACACGGCUAGCUGCAAUUGUUCUUGUUCUAGCUUUGACCUCUGAUUUUUCUCCUUCAUUGCUUAAUGUUUUCUCUUUAGGUUGGCGUUUUUCAA
This is a long non-coding RNA of Brassica napus (rape), 1438 nucleotides long. RefSeq lists it as uncharacterized. NCBI's taxonomy places the organism in Eukaryota, Viridiplantae, Streptophyta, Magnoliopsida, Brassicales, Brassicaceae. The record is from RefSeq and is a predicted model, not a curated record. The transcript has 3 exons.